Small nuclear RNA from Erinaceus europaeus (western European hedgehog), 106 nucleotides. Lineage: Eukaryota; Metazoa; Chordata; Mammalia; Eulipotyphla; Erinaceidae. The record is from Ensembl.
GUACUAGCUUUGGCAGUAUACAUACUAAAACUAGAAUGAUCCAGAGAAGACUAGCAAACCCCUGUGCAAAGAUGAUGCUCAAAGUCAUGCAUAUUAAAAAAUAAAA